This 148-nucleotide non-coding RNA is filed under the name Nomascus leucogenys (northern white-cheeked gibbon). Lineage: Eukaryota; Metazoa; Chordata; Mammalia; Primates; Hylobatidae. The record is from Rfam by way of RNAcentral.
GCCAGGUAUGGUGGUGCAUGCCUGUAAUCCCAGAUACUUGGGAGGCUGAGGCAGGAGAAUCACUUGAAUCCAGGAGGCGGAGGUUGCAGUGAGCUGAGAUGGUGCCACUGCACUCCAGCCUGGGUGACAGAGUGAGACUCAGUCUCAA